UCGGAAGCGAGCCUGUUCCGGAUUUCUGCUUGAAUUUCCUCUCUUGCUCUAUCCGAAUCCCCCACAUCUUGUUUGAGACUGAUACCAACAGUUGAUUGAGCGAACUUCUUGGCCUGCGGCUGGACUCGAUCCAAUCAGCUCCCUCAGCUCUCUUUCCUGUUGAAACCCUCAAGAAAAACUCACCUUUUUUAUUAGUCUUUGGAUCUUGUGAAGUGGUGGUUGCUACAAGGUUGCAUUGAGGCCAAGUGCUGCAAGAGAAAGCUCGAGUUCCAGGUAGGGGAUGCCUUUAACUCUAUCUAUGCUCUUCUUGCAUAUACUAUGUUUUAUAUGAGGCCUCUUGCAUGGUUUUGAAAAUUAUCUGUUUUACAAUUGAAAUGGUUUGCAUAGAUUGGAUUGAUGUGUUGGCAAUUGAUGGGGAUGUAAGGAGAGGUCAGUUCCUCCUUGAGCCACCGGUGGUGGGCAGUGUGCACCAUGCCCUUGUUAUUGAAUACCCCCCUUUGUCUCUAGCCUUGUGAUUAUUGAAUUCCAGAAAGUGAUUGGCUAGAUGGACGGUUGUGAUGGAAGUGUGAAAGAUGAUC
Rosa rugosa (rugosa rose) is the source of this 578-nucleotide long non-coding RNA. RefSeq lists it as uncharacterized. The record is from RefSeq and is a predicted model, not a curated record. NCBI's taxonomy places the organism in Eukaryota, Viridiplantae, Streptophyta, Magnoliopsida, Rosales, Rosaceae. The transcript is spliced from 3 exons.